CACGCAGUGCAGUCUCUGGUAUUUAUAUAUUAAAAGCAACGCAGUUACAGGAAAGAUAACAGGGGGGGGUUCUGAGCCGCUCCCUGGCUUAUCAUACUGCAUUCAGACCUGCUAAACUUGUCUUUAAAAUGGUAUACAUGUUUGUUUCACAGCUAUCUUAUCUCUUCUCAUCAAGCACAGCAGUAAUGGAACUAAGACACACCUGAGCUUGUCAUCGUAGUUAAACCUGCAAUGGGUGAAACUGCUGUGCAAUAGGAGUCUUAUUUCCAUCCCUGCACUGGUGUCAGAACUGAGGAUUUAGGAGGAGCGGCACUUCACAACCACACCAGUUAAAUCAUAAGCAAGUCUAAUAAAUAAAACAAUGUGCUUGGACCUGCAGGAGGAUAGUGCCUGCUCCGCAGUGGAGCCCCCACGCACGCCAGCCUGCUCCGCAGUGGAGCCCCCACGCACGCCAGCCUCCUGCUCCUCUGACCCCUAUGGAGUGCAAGCAGUGGUGGACUGUGGAGACAUCUCCAUCCCACUCAUGGUCUUGUACCCAGAGUACAGAGCCAGCCUGCUGGCCGAGGUUCUCUCAGAAGCUGUUUCAGUGACUGAUGAAUAAUAUGGAUGUUGGAGAACAUGUUUUAAACCGAUGGAAUGAAGGAGGUGGCCCUGCUGAUUACCCUGAACAGGGACUGUCAGUCCUCUUUAUUCCUGUGGAUUUCUAAAAAGGGGCAUUUUUAUUAAAAGUGAAAAACAGAUCCACAUUGGACCAUGUUAACCGCUGUUCAGAUCUGAUUCUACACUGUGAAUCUCUACCUGAGUGUUCUGUUAAAGUAACACUAUAUUAUAGUCAUACUAUAUUCAGAUUCUCAUUCCUCAUGGAAUGUUUUAGCUAUUGAAAAAUGUUUGCCAAUUUUUAAAUGACAGUGUAUCAUUGUUUAA
Long non-coding RNA from Acipenser ruthenus (sterlet), 924 nucleotides. RefSeq lists it as uncharacterized. The transcript has 3 exons. The record is from RefSeq and is a predicted model, not a curated record. Lineage: Eukaryota; Metazoa; Chordata; Actinopteri; Acipenseriformes; Acipenseridae.